RNAcentral lists this long non-coding RNA (251 nucleotides) under Phoenix dactylifera (date palm). RNAcentral describes it as "long non-coding RNA (PDAC_LNC004943)". Lineage: Eukaryota; Viridiplantae; Streptophyta; Magnoliopsida; Arecales; Arecaceae. The record is from RNAcentral.
GGAGGUUUACAGUGGCCAUGCGCAAUAAAUGCCGGGGGAGCGGCAGAGUAUGGUCCUCGGCCGGACCUCAGAGGGGUAUGGCCGUAGUAGGUGGCUGACAAGGGUAGACCUUGAGCAUCAGGGUUUUCCUAGGUCGGAGGUUCCGAGGUCGGAUGUCUUGAGGUCGGGCGCUCCGAGGUCGGACGCCGACUUCGGCCGUCCAGGGUCGGCGAUUGUACGACUUCUUAGGGGCAUUUGUGUCACUGGGGGGG